Molecule: long non-coding RNA, 681 nt
Organism: Pogoniulus pusillus (Red-fronted tinkerbird)
Lineage: Eukaryota; Metazoa; Chordata; Aves; Piciformes; Lybiidae
Exons: 2
Source: RefSeq, a predicted model, not a curated record
CCCAACUGGGCAGAGGGAUCCUCCUCCCAUCAUCAGUGCUGUGCUCUGCCAUUGCCUGCUGCUAUUGCCAACUGCCUUAUUGUUUGCUGCUGAACUCCUCUGCCGCGAGUUACCAGAAGCAGACCCUGGAUGCCUGCAUGUGAUCAGCCUGUGUGGCCAGCUGACAUCAUGCUGAGACUGCACCACAUCUGCCUCUGCACCUGAAAGUCCUGCUUAGCAGUCCUGGACAGAACAGAUCAUCCAGAAGAAGCCAGGAGACAAGGCCAGAGGUCAUCUGCAUCUUUCCCCAGAAGCCAGGAAGAUUCAAGUCUCAACAUCCAACAAGACAGAGUCUCCUGAAAGCAUUUGGGCACUGUCAGGACUGUGACUAAGCCCCUACGAGUCUGAUAAUAAUUUGUAAAUGCUUAAAUGCCUCCAUUGCCUUCUGCCAUGAGCAGAAAGAGCUUGAGCCCAUCUACUGGGCAAGCAGCAUAUUGACCACAAGCAGCAUUUGACUGUGGAAUCUUCUCUUCCAGUUCAAUUGAUGUUUAUGUAUUUUCCUGGUUAUUACUAGAUCUAGAUAUUAUCCACAGAAUGUUUCCAUGACUGCAUAAGAACCAAAAUAUGAUUAAAAUGAGUGGUUGGGCAUGGAGAGAGUUCUGAAUAGCAAUGUUAAUAAACAAUAUUAAGUUUGGAAAAAUA